Molecule: ribosomal RNA, 274 nt
Filed under: uncultured bacterium
Lineage: Bacteria
Description: partial 16S ribosomal RNA
Rfam family: Bacterial small subunit ribosomal RNA
Source: RNAcentral
AUACGGAGGGGGCUAGCGUUGUUCGGAAUUACUGGGCGUAAAGCGCGCGUAGGCGGGUUGGCAAGUGGAAGGUGAAAUCCCAGGGCUCAACCCUGGAACUGCCUCCAAAACUGCCAGUCUUGAGUUCGGAAGAGGUGAGUGGAAUUCCUAGUGUAGAGGUGAGAUUCGUAGAUAUUAGGAAGAACACCAGUGGCGAAGGCGACUCACUGGUCCGAUACUGACGCUGAGGUGCGAAAGCGUGGGGAGCAAACAGGAUUAGAAACCCCAGUAGUCC